This 827-nucleotide ribosomal RNA is filed under the name Escherichia coli. RNAcentral describes it as "partial 23S ribosomal RNA". It matches the Rfam family "Bacterial large subunit ribosomal RNA", at positions 360 to 1191 of the family's 2925-position model. The record is from RNAcentral. Lineage: Bacteria; Pseudomonadati; Pseudomonadota; Gammaproteobacteria; Enterobacterales; Enterobacteriaceae.
CAGGGUGACAGCCCCGUACACAAAAAUGCACAUGCUGUGAGCUCGAUGAGUAGGGCGGGACACGUGGUAUCCUGUCUGAAUAUGGGGGGACCAUCCUCCAAGGCUAAAUACUCCUGACUGACCGAUAGUGAACCAGUACCGUGAGGGAAAGGCGAAAAGAACCCCGGCGAGGGGAGUGAAAAAGAACCUGAAACCGUGUACGUACAAGCAGUGGGAGCACGCUUAGGCGUGUGACUGCGUACCUUUUGUAUAAUGGGUCAGCGACUUAUAUUCUGUAGCAAGGUUAACCGAAUAGGGGAGCCGAAGGGAAACCGAGUCUUAACUGGGCGUUAAGUUGCAGGGUAUAGACCCGAAACCCGGUGAUCUAGCCAUGGGCAGGUUGAAGGUUGGGUAACACUAACUGGAGGACCGAACCGACUAAUGUUGAAAAAUUAGCGGAUGACUUGUGGCUGGGGGUGAAAGGCCAAUCAAACCGGGAGAUAGCUGGUUCUCCCCGAAAGCUAUUUAGGUAGCGCCUCGUGAAUUCAUCUCCGGGGGUAGAGCACUGUUUCGGCAAGGGGGUCAUCCCGACUUACCAACCCGAUGCAAACUGCGAAUACCGGAGAAUGUUAUCACGGGAGACACACGGCGGGUGCUAACGUCCGUCGUGAAGAGGGAAACAACCCAGACCGCCAGCUAAGGUCCCAAAGUCAUGGUUAAGUGGGAAACGAUGUGGGAAGGCCCAGACAGCCAGGAUGUUGGCUUAGAAGCAGCCAUCAUUUAAAGAAAGCGUAAUAGCUCACUGGUCGAGUCGGCCUGCGCGGAAGAUGUAACGGGGCUAAACCAUG